AUAUUGGCGAGAGACCGAUAGCGAACAAGUACCGUGAGGGAAAGAUGAAAAGCACUUUGGAAAGAGAGUUAAACAGUACGUGAAAUUGUUGAAAGGGAAACGCUUGAAGUCAGUCGCGUUGGCAGAGACUCAGCCUUGCUUUGCAUGGUGUACUUCUCAGUUAACGGGUCAACAUCAAUUUCAGUUGGUGGAUAAAGGCAUUGGGGAUGUGGCACCUUCGGGUGUGUUAUAGACCUUUGUUGCAUACACUGACCGGGAUUGAGGAACGCAGCACGCCACUACGGCCAGGGAUUUGUCCCAUGUAACGUGCUUAGGAUGUUGGCAUAAUGGCUUUAAGCGACCCGUCUUGAAACACGGACC
This 360-nucleotide ribosomal RNA is filed under the name uncultured fungus. RNAcentral describes it as "LSU rRNA". It matches the Rfam family "Eukaryotic large subunit ribosomal RNA", at positions 320 to 667 of the family's 3401-position model. Lineage: Eukaryota; Fungi. The record is from RNAcentral.